Molecule: long non-coding RNA, 264 nt
Filed under: Homo sapiens (human)
Lineage: Eukaryota; Metazoa; Chordata; Mammalia; Primates; Hominidae
Description: HSALNT0231706
Source: RNAcentral
AUCUCCAGCCUUACCGCGGCUCGAAAUGGACCCCAACUGCUCCUGCACCACUGGCUGCUGCUCCUGCUGCCCCGUGGGCUGUGCCAAGUGUGCCCACGGCUGUGUCUGCAAAGGGACGUUGGAGAACUGCAGCUGCUGUGCCUGAUGUGGGAACAGCUCUUCUCCCAGAUGUUAAUAGAACAAGCUGCACAACCUGGAUUUUUUUUCAAUACGAUACUGAGCCAUUUGCUGCAUUUCUUUUUAUAUUAAAUAUGUGAGUGACAA